GAAUUGUUCGCAAUGGGCGCAAGCCUGACGACGCAACGCCGCGUGGAGGAUGAAGAUCUUCGGGUCGUAAACUCCUUUCGAUCGAGACGAAUUCCUCUGGGGUGAAUAAUCCCGGCGGUUGACGGUACCGAGAGAAGAAGCCCCGGCCAACUCCGUGCCAGCCGCCGCGGUAAUACGGGUGGGGCAAGCGUUGUUCGGAAUGACUGGGCGUAAAGGGCUCGUAGGUGGCCAACUAAGUCGGACGUGAAAUCCCUCGGCUUAACCGGGGAACUGCGUCCGAUACUGGUUGGCUUGAGUGUGGGAGAGGGAUGCGGAAUUCCAGGUGUAGCGGUGAAAUGCGUAGAUAUCUGGAGGAACACCGGUGGCGAAGGCGGCAUCCUGGACCAAUACUGACGCUGAGGAGCGAAAGCCAGGGGAGCAAACGGG
RNAcentral lists this ribosomal RNA (426 nucleotides) under uncultured bacterium. Its description in RNAcentral is "bacterial SSU rRNA". It matches the Rfam family "Bacterial small subunit ribosomal RNA", at positions 359 to 776 of the family's 1533-position model. The record is from RNAcentral.